RNAcentral lists this unclassified non-coding RNA (209 nucleotides) under Hevea brasiliensis (rubber tree). The record is from RNAcentral. Lineage: Eukaryota; Viridiplantae; Streptophyta; Magnoliopsida; Malpighiales; Euphorbiaceae.
UUGCCUACUUUGAAACAUCCUAGGUCAUAUAAGUUACAAUGGUUGAAUGAAUGUGGAGAAAUUAAGAUGACUAAGCAAGCACUAGUUACUUUUUCCAUUAGUAGAUAUCAUGAUAAGGUUAUAUGUGAUGUAGUGUCUAUGCAUGCUAGUCAUCUGUUACUUGAUAGACCAUGGCAGUUUGACAGGCGAGUGAUACAUGAUGGUUACAG